UGGGGAAUUUUGGACAAUGGGCGAAAGCCUGAUCCAGCGAUGCCGCGUGUGUGAAGAAGGCCUUCGGGUUGUAAAGCACUUUUGUCCGGAAAGAAAUCCUUGGCUCUAAUACAGUCGGGGGAUGACGGUACCGGAAGAAUAAGCACCGGCUAACUACGUGCCAGCAGCCGCGGUAAUACGUAGGGUGCAAGCGUUAAUCGGAAUUACUGGGCGUAAAGCGUGCGCAGGCGGUUUGCUAAGACCGAUGUGAAAUCCCCGGGCUCAACCUGGGAACUGCAUUGGUGACUGGCAGGCUAGAGUAUGGCAGAGGGGGGUAGAAUUCCACGUGUAGCAGUGAAAUGCGUAGAGAUGUGGAGGAAUACCGAUGGCGAAGGCAGCCCCCUGGGCCAAUACUGACGCUCAUGCACGAAAGCGUGGGGAGCAAACAGGAUUAGAUACCCUGGUAGUCCAGCGCCCUAAACGAUGUCAACUAGUUGUUGGGGAUUCAUUUCCUUAGUAACGUAGCUAACGCGUGAAGUUGACCGCCUGGGGAGUACGGUCGCAAGAUUAAAACUCAAAGGAAUUGACGGGGU
RNAcentral lists this ribosomal RNA (572 nucleotides) under uncultured bacterium. Its description in RNAcentral is "partial 16S ribosomal RNA". It matches the Rfam family "Bacterial small subunit ribosomal RNA", at positions 355 to 919 of the family's 1533-position model. The record is from RNAcentral.